AUCUCUGAGACAAACCUAGUCACUGUGGGUUAAGAACAAUGAUUACUCCUCUCCAGACCCCCUUCCAUUUGCCUUGUCUAUUUCAAAGUUGUUCCUUGUUGCAUUUGGAGGCAGGGAAGCUGUUUCCAAAAGCUUUAUUUUUCACUUGGUCCAAAGGCUUGGGAGAGGCUACAAAGCUUUAGAGGUUCAUUCAGCUGGAGGUCCUGAGGCAUCUGGUGCAGAGCGAAGGAGGGAGACCCUGCAGAAGCCUAGUCGUGCUUGAGAGUGAGGCACUCAAAGAGAUACUCACCCAGAGAUGCCUUGGGUCAUGCCAGUCUGUGCUGGUUAUGGCCCUGCCAGCCUACGUGGUUGGUCAGAUUGUUGCCUAUCUUCUCGAUGAGCUUCACCUUCUUAUCCAGGAAUUGGCUUUCCAAAAAGACACAGAGAUGAGCGUCUGUGAGGACAGAAUCCAGGACAUGAAGAUUCAAGAGGGCCUGGUUUAGGUUCUUCCCCAGGGCCAAGACAGCUUCCAUGGCCUCCUGGGUUUUACUUCAUUCAUCUUGAGCUGGUCUCUGCACAUCCUGGAAGAGUGCAUGGCCCCCACAAUCAUUCUGUAGCUUGAGGAGACACUCGGUGCCCUCGCAUUUCUCCUUGGCCAAUUUGUGGAAGAAGAGGCCAGCGCCCUCCAAAGCCACAUUGUCCUGAUCAAAAAGGAAGCCCAGAGAGAGUGAUUUGGCUGGCUGUUUGAAGCGUGUAUCGUGGUUUCUGUUGGAAAGCGAGUUAUCCUCAGAAAGUCCACAUGGAGCCGGGAGAUAAAACACAAAACAGCCCAGGGCUACAAGUCCCCGGUGAGUGCACAGGUCUAAGGAGCGGCCUCCAGCUGCUCUGCGAACUUCCCUAACAGAUUUCAGCCACCCAGAGAGCACCAAGGUGAGGACGAUGGGAGAAGACCACGUGGCAAGAAGACUCAAGGGGCCUCCACCUGACAACCCAUUGGCAGCUGUCACUAGGCACGAGACCCCUCCCCAGUCGAACUUCGGAUGGGACUUUAAUUCUACCCAAAACUGGAUUUAAGGCCUGCCAGGAGGUGCUGACUCGUGUUGUUUCAAGGCCCUAAAUGGGUGGUCAUUUGUUAUGUGGCAAAACAUCUUUAAUACAGCGGAGUAUCGAGUACCUAAGAUGCCUGACGUCCUGUAAGCACGAGGAUUAGCUCCGUGUGCUUCCAGCCCUAUGCUACUCACACAAAUCUGAGCAAGUGUAGCUACUGUUACAUGCUGGAUUGCAGGUCAUUGUCUUUCUAACUCCAGGCUACUCGUCCAACUUUAAAUCCUUAUUUUAUUAGAGCUCA
RNAcentral lists this small RNA (1327 nucleotides) under Rattus norvegicus (Norway rat). Its description in RNAcentral is "uncharacterized LOC102554403". The record is from RNAcentral. Lineage: Eukaryota; Metazoa; Chordata; Mammalia; Rodentia; Muridae.